This 745-nucleotide ribosomal RNA is filed under the name Bacillus subtilis. RNAcentral describes it as "bacterial SSU rRNA". It matches the Rfam family "Bacterial small subunit ribosomal RNA", at positions 59 to 786 of the family's 1533-position model. Lineage: Bacteria; Bacillati; Bacillota; Bacilli; Caryophanales; Bacillaceae. The record is from RNAcentral.
CAGUCGAGCGGACAGAUGGGAGCUUGCUCCCUGAUGUUAGCGGCGGACGGGUGAGUAACACGUGGGUAACCUGCCUGUAAGACUGGGAUAACUCCGGGAAACCGGGGCUAAUACCGGAUGGUUGUUUGAACCGCAUGGUUCAAACAUAAAAGGUGGCUUCGGCUACCACUUACAGAUGGACCCGCGGCGCAUUAGCUAGUUGGUGAGGUAACGGCUCACCAAGGCAACGAUGCGUAGCCGACCUGAGAGGGUGAUCGGCCACACUGGGACUGAGACACGGCCCAGACUCCUACGGGAGGCAGCAGUAGGGAAUCUUCCGCAAUGGACGAAAGUCUGACGGAGCAACGCCGCGUGAGUGAUGAAGGUUUUCGGAUCGUAAAGCUCUGUUGUUAGGGAAGAACAAGUACCGUUCGAAUAGGGCGGUACCUUGACGGUACCUAACCAGAAAGCCACGGCUAACUACGUGCCAGCAGCCGCGGUAAUACGUAGGUGGCAAGCGUUGUCCGGAAUUAUUGGGCGUAAAGGGCUCGCAGGCGGUUUCUUAAGUCUGAUGUGAAAGCCCCCGGCUCAACCGGGGAGGGUCAUUGGAAACUGGGGAACUUGAGUGCAGAAGAGGAGAGUGGAAUUCCACGUGUAGCGGUGAAAUGCGUAGAGAUGUGGAGGAACACCAGUGGCGAAGGCGACUCUCUGGUCUGUAACUGACGCUGAGGAGCGAAAGCGUGGGGAGCGAACAGGAUUAGAUACC